UGACAUAGGGUAGUCAUGUUACAAGGUGACAUAGCGUAGAUCUCAGCCCUUCAAACCAAAUCCAAUGGCUGAGAUUCGUCCACGUCAUCACGAGUUAAAAUUUAACUCGUAGGAGCAAAAAUUUUACUGGGAGUAAAAUUUCAGGAGUUAAAAUUUUACUGGAGUUAAAUUUUAACUCAUGGUGACGUGAACGAAUCUCAGUCGUUGGAUUUGGUUUGGAGGGCUGAGAUCUACGCUAUGUCACACUGUGACAUGUCUACCCUAUGCCAC
RNAcentral lists this unclassified non-coding RNA (270 nucleotides) under Oryza sativa (Asian cultivated rice). The record is from RNAcentral. Lineage: Eukaryota; Viridiplantae; Streptophyta; Magnoliopsida; Poales; Poaceae.